RNAcentral lists this ribosomal RNA (466 nucleotides) under Achromobacter xylosoxidans. Its description in RNAcentral is "bacterial SSU rRNA". It matches the Rfam family "Bacterial small subunit ribosomal RNA", at positions 30 to 491 of the family's 1533-position model. The record is from RNAcentral. Lineage: Bacteria; Pseudomonadati; Pseudomonadota; Betaproteobacteria; Burkholderiales; Alcaligenaceae.
UGAACGCUAGCGGGAUGCCUUACACAUGCAAGUCGAACGGCAGCACGGACUUCGGUCUGGUGGCGAGUGGCGAACGGGUGAGUAAUGUAUCGGAACGUGCCCAGUAGCGGGGGAUAACUACGCGAAAGCGUAGCUAAUACCGCAUACGCCCUACGGGGGAAAGCAGGGGAUCGCAAGACCUUGCACUAUUGGAGCGGCCGAUAUCGGAUUAGCUAGUUGGUGGGGUAACGGCUCACCAAGGCGACGAUCCGUAGCUGGUUUGAGAGGACGACCAGCCACACUGGGACUGAGACACGGCCCAGACUCCUACGGGAGGCAGCAGUGGGGAAUUUUGGACAAUGGGGGAAACCCUGAUCCAGCCAUCCCGCGUGUGCGAUGAAGGCCUUCGGGUUGUAAAGCACUUUUGGCAGGAAAGAAACGUCGUGGGUUAAUACCCCGCGAAACUGACGGUACCUGCAGAAUAAGC